UGGGGAAUAUUGCGCAAUGGGGGAAACCCUGACGCAGCGACGCCGCGUGUGGGAUGAAGGUCUUCGGAUUGUAAACCACUGUCGCGAGGGACGAAGCUCUGACGGUACCUCGAAAGGAAGCACCGGCUAACUCUGUGCCAGCAGCCGCGGUAAUACAGAGGGUGCGAGCGUUGUCCGGAAUCACUGGGCGUAAAGGGCGCGUAGGCGGCCCGGUAAGUAGGGGGUGAAAUCUCAUGGCUCAACUGUGAGGCUGCCUUCUAGACUGCCAGGCUUGAGCACAGUAGAGGCGAGUGGAAUUCCCGGUGUAGCGGUGGAAUGCGUAGAGAUCGGGAAGAACAUCGGUGGCGAAGGCGGCCACCUGGUUGGAUACUGACGCUGAGACGCGAAAGCGUGGGGAGCAAACAGGAUUAGAUACCCAAGUAGUCCCUGAGCGGGCUGGCAAGGCGCAU
Molecule: ribosomal RNA, 449 nt
Filed under: uncultured bacterium
Lineage: Bacteria
Description: bacterial SSU rRNA
Rfam family: Bacterial small subunit ribosomal RNA
Source: RNAcentral